GAUAGAUACUUCUUCCCCCUAACCGCGCAAAGACGAAAAUGGCGACGGGGGUUCCUCUUCCCCGACCAGAGCAAGAGUCAGAGUCAGAGCCAGAGCCAGCGCCAGAGCCAGAGUCAGGGCGUGCCAUGUUUCUGUGCCACAGAGAGCAAAGACGAAGGCGGCGGCGUUCCUCAUCUCCUCCCGGAUCAGAGACAGCGCGUGCCAUGCCUGCGCCUUAGAUCUCAUGAUUGGCAUGCGCACCAGACUUCUCAUAGAUCUACGGUCUCCUUGGGCGUUCUGGAGCUGAAAGGUGGCACCUUCCGCCGAGAUACGGUGGGUCUACGUGUAUUCAGGUACUUGACAGCAGUCAUCCUCCUUUGGAAGCUGAAUAACGAAGUAGAUCUAUUCUUAUGAAAUAUAAUUGAGGAUGGAGUCUGUUGAGGCGAAGGCGAAGACGCUACCCUUCACGCGAAGCCUUCGUCGUUUCGCUGCACCAACGAAGGCGAGAUGGUCGGCGCAGUUGCCCUUUGUCAUCUCCAUCGCAAGACGAAGGCCAGAUUCAGACUCCGACGUAGUCUGUUAGUCCCGCGUCCUCGUCUCGCCCGGAGGCCCACGCGGAAUUUGGCCCACUGUAAGUCUGUAACGGGCCCCGCGUGGACAAGCAUAUUACGGGCCUCAUCUGUAAUAGCUUUUCUGUAAUAACGGUCUGUAACCUCCUUUUAUGAGAAUAUUAUAGGGAUAGUCCGGGUAUCCGAGGGCAUAAACAUCCUUGUCUUGGGACGUUGGACACUCGGGUACCUAUAAAUACCCCCGUACAGUGCCCUUGAGAGGCCAGAUUAACAGAGCAAUUACCAUCCCACAUUAAACUUU
Zea mays is the source of this 849-nucleotide long non-coding RNA. RefSeq lists it as uncharacterized. The transcript is spliced from 2 exons. Lineage: Eukaryota; Viridiplantae; Streptophyta; Magnoliopsida; Poales; Poaceae. The record is from RefSeq and is a predicted model, not a curated record.